GAUGAACGCUGGCGGCGUGCCUAAUACAUGCAAGUCGAGCGAACAGACGAGGAGCUUGCUCCUCUGACGUUAGCGGCGGACGGGUGAGUAACACGUGGAUAACCUACCUAUAAGACUGGGAUAACUUCGGGAAACCGGAGCUAAUACCGGAUAAUAUAUUGAACCGCAUGGUUCAAUAGUGAAAGACGGUUUUGCUGUCACUUAUAGAUGGAUCCGCGCCGCAUUAGCUAGUUGGUAAGGUAACGGCUUACCAAGGCAACGAUGCGUAGCCGACCUGAGAGGGUGAUCGGCCACACUGGAACUGAGACACGGUCCAGACUCCUACGGAAGGCAGCAGUAGGGAAUCUUCCGCAAUGGGCGAAAGCCUGACGGAGCAACGCCGCGUGAGUGAUGAAGGUCUUCGGAUCGUAAAACUCUGUUAUUAGGGAAGAACAAAUGUGUAAGUAACUAUGCACGUCUUGACGGUACCUAAUCAGAAAGCCACGGCUAACUACGUG
Molecule: ribosomal RNA, 497 nt
Filed under: uncultured bacterium
Lineage: Bacteria
Description: partial 16S ribosomal RNA
Rfam family: Bacterial small subunit ribosomal RNA
Source: RNAcentral